Molecule: long non-coding RNA, 931 nt
Organism: Carassius gibelio (silver crucian carp)
Lineage: Eukaryota; Metazoa; Chordata; Actinopteri; Cypriniformes; Cyprinidae
Exons: 7
Source: RefSeq, a predicted model, not a curated record
AUUCUCACUCCAAAGGCGUCAAAAACCGAAGCAUGGUCAAGCGCCCCUAGCGUCACUUUUAUGACGCCAAAUGUGCCUCUCGGCGUCGACUAUCGAAGCACUACGACCUUCAUUGCUUUCAGUGGGAAACUUUUGGCGUCAGAAUUCGACACGAGGACAUGAGAUGUUUAUCGCUAUGAAAUCACGUUCAAGAAGUCUCAUUCAGCACACAUCGCGCGAUACUUGCUAUCAGUUCCACAGUUUGGCUGAAAAGACGUAAAGGCAGUCAGCCCAGUGGUGUUUCUGGAGAGGGAUUCCUUCAGAAAUGGAGAAGACAGAAAGCUGCGGAGGCAGAUAUUUGCAGCAUGUUCGAGUGAGCAUGAUGACCACGAGUGUGUGUCGAACUUUUCAUGACCUGAUGACUGUGUUUCCCAAUCCUGAUCCUGGAGAACCCCAGCACUGCACGGUUUUGGCGUCUCUCUUAUCUGCCUUGGAGUCUUCACUGAUGAGCUGAUGAGUUGAAUCAGGUCUAAAAUAUCGAGCUCAACAGCUAUUUUAAGAGCCAACCCUCACAAACCUUCCUAAAACCUAAAAGAGCUAUUACUGAGUCUCAGCGAAUCUUGCCAUGAUCAGCUCUUCCCAGAAGAGAAGGAAGACCAAGGAUAUGAUUUGCUCAGGAUGAGGAAUGAAGAUGGCCAUCUUGAGCUCAAACAAACAGAAGUCCUCUGAUGAUCUCAUCAGCCAAAUGAGGGGUUUUGACCAAGUGAUGCUCUUGAAAGGAGUGAAAGAAGAGGAUGUUGUAAAUUGUCUUCAGAGAAAAGCUUCUCAAAAGAUCUUAAAACAGCUUGAAGAAUGGUCUGGGAUCUUAGGACUGAGAGAUCAUCUGGCUGAGAACAAGCUACACCUCAUCAGUGCUGGACAUCAACCACAAACUGUUUCCAGACACGAGAGA